GUCCUGCCAGAACUCUUUGCUCUCCCCCUUCCACUGGCCUGCUUUGUGUAAAUCCUGCUUGCUAUAUUCCCAGGGAAACUCCAAUGGAAUUAAGCUUCACAGAUGUAAAAAGAAGUAUAUAAAGAAGUACAAAGUUUUAUUUGGAGCUCUUGAGACUGACAGGAGUCACUCGCUGAACCGCUGGUCUCAUUAAAAGCCAUUUUUUGCUCCUAUCUUCAUGUUAAAGAGUUAUCUGUGCGGGGGUCCUCACUGUUUCCUGCUUCAAUAGCACCCAAACAACUUGCUCAAAUCUCACAGCAAGAUCCACAGAGGGCAAACCAGAACACCAAGAACACCCAGUUACUUUAAGCUCAGAAGAAUCUACAUUCUGUCUAGAUCUGAGGAGUCAGAACUUCAAGAGCUCGGUACUUACCACAUCAUUUGGGAGGCUCUGGAGGUCAUCAAAGGGAGUUUCCAGGGUGUUGGUGUCCACGUUCAGGAUCACAACAUCAUCCAGGGCCAUGUUUCUGACUUUCUGCAAGUCAACAAAGUCCAGAAGAGAAAGUCAUCCAAACAUCAUUAAGACACAAAGGGCCACCCUCAGGGUCUCCAGGGCCCAGCACAGAGGCUGACACAAGGCACGCGCUCAUUAACUGGAGAGUGAGCCGGGCUGGAUCCACUCUACUGGGAGGCUGGCCUUGCAGCAGAUGUCAGCGUCAGCCUGGACGGACAACGGGAGUCCAAAGUAGCUAUCUCCAUCCUGCUGACAGAGAUGUGAAGGCUCACACCCACAGUAGCUCAGUGAUUUGCCCAAGAGACAACUGGUAGAGCUGGUAUUCAAACUUAGGCUCCUGCCUGCUCCAAAGAUCCAUGCACAUUUUCCCCACUAAAAGCAGAACACAAACAAACAAAAUGACAGCAUGCAGUAAUUUGUGCAGAAAAUGACGGAUUUCAGCUUGCUUACACAUUGCCCUGACCCAUUUAAAGGCCUUCCGAAUCAAUUAUUUUAUGUCAUUAAGAGGAAGUUUAAUUUGGUCGACAAACACCCCUACUGUGGUGACCUCGAAUAUCAACAGCAAAUGCCUGAUGGUCACAAACUGGUACCAUGAGUUACUGAGCAUGGUGUUAAACAAAACCACAUGUGCCCAAAUCCCAAGUGGGAUUUGCCUAGGCCAAGGGCGCCUCUCUUCAAUCAUCACUGCUGGUCUCUGAGCUCCCACAAAGACCCCACCCCUAGUCACUUGCAAGGAGUUUAUAAAAAGAAGUCACUAGUCCCACGUGGCAAAGCUCAGUUAAAAGUAUUUUUAAGUGAACAGUGACUUAGAAAAAAA
Heterocephalus glaber (naked mole-rat) is the source of this 1310-nucleotide non-coding RNA. Lineage: Eukaryota; Metazoa; Chordata; Mammalia; Rodentia; Bathyergidae. The record is from RefSeq and is a predicted model, not a curated record.